AUGGUAGCCCCGACUGUUCUUUCCGAGUGCCACAACCUACAGGAAAGAGAAUCAAUAACAGUUUACAAUCCAUGUAAGAAGAGCGCAGGGGCCUUAUAUCGUCCCUCAGCGGCUGACAGUCUUUGAUGUGUCUUGCUACUGUACGCUGGCCAACGGGAAUACACAUGGACAAAACCCUACAUGUCUCUGACUUCCUACGCAUGAACAAAGGGCGUCACAGCUGGGCCGGGUGCACCGACGACUGACCUGAUCUGACUGUGUGACCUUCACCUCAGACCCCUUUCAUUUGUGGCCAUUAGUGAAGCGUACAAACAAUGAUCACUUCAAGGUCGUAAUUUUGCUAUUUAUGAUCCUGGGUGAUGUGUCCUCAUGAUUAAUUUUGAACCCCAAGAAGAGACAACCUCCUAUAGAUCUGGAACAACAUAAGGGUUUUUGGAGCCAGUGAGGUUAUCAGUCCUGUCCCACAAACAAAUACUGCUGCAGGCUCCUCACACCUGAGCGAGAGCUGGCGGAAGAACAGAGAUCACGACUGAACUUCACAGCCUGCGGGCCAGCAGGACCACUCUACAACCUUGAUGUGGACACAGCCAGGGUCUAAUUACACGAUUCCAUUCAAAGGGUCCAGACCGAGACCUGAC
Onychostoma macrolepis is the source of this 638-nucleotide long non-coding RNA. RefSeq lists it as uncharacterized. The record is from RefSeq and is a predicted model, not a curated record. The transcript is spliced from 4 exons. Lineage: Eukaryota; Metazoa; Chordata; Actinopteri; Cypriniformes; Cyprinidae.